AUGUCUCAAUGUGUUAGAAACUUCAUCCAGAAGACAUCUUUUGAAAGAAGGAUGAGUCUCCUGUCAUUGCUGGUUUUCUGUUUCAUGCUUUUCUCAGGGACAGCUGCUGGACUUUAUUCUGCUGAUCCGUCUCUGGUGGUUUCCACUGAAGGACAAAGUAUCUGUUUGCCAUGUGGCGUACCUUCUGAGUCGUGCUCCUCGAUAAACUGGACGAUGGCAGAAAUGAUUCCAGGCUGGUUUUCUGAUGUGGUGAUGGAUGGAAGGGUGACAUCUGCAGAUGCCAGGUAUCAUCUGUUGAAGGACUGUUCCUUGGAAAUCGCUCAAGUCAAACCUGAUGAUGCCCACAUGUACACCUGUCAAAGCGGAUCACUUAAUUCAAGUGUUUCACUUCAGAUCCUUGAAGUUAUUGAGAGCCAAACUCCUGCAGAGGGCACAAUAGAGCUUCACUGUUAUCUGAACACAUUUAAAGGAUACAUGCCUUGCAGCAGAAACUCAGACAUCCACAUCAGAUGGACUGACCAGAAUGAUGAACCACUAAAUGGUCAAAGAUUUAGAUCUGAGACUCUAUCUGCUUGCUUCUCUAAACUUUUCAUCACCAAAAAACUGACGGACCAUCAUAGAACGUGGAAAUGUCACGUCCUACAGAACAACCAGAUUAAAGCCUCCGUCAGUUAUGAGACUACAGUAGAAGGUAAUAAGCUAACAGGUGAAGGUUGUGCUUUAAUAAGUACAGAAAGGGACUGA
Molecule: long non-coding RNA, 744 nt
Filed under: Nothobranchius furzeri (turquoise killifish)
Lineage: Eukaryota; Metazoa; Chordata; Actinopteri; Cyprinodontiformes; Nothobranchiidae
Description: lncRNA (ENSNFUG00015002238.1)
Source: RNAcentral